UCCAUUUUGAAAGCUCUUCGGAGCGUUGUAGAUUGGUGGGAAGCUAACGGCUGGUGGGAGACCAAGUCCUCUGGAACGAGGCGCCAUAGAGGGUGAGAGCCCCGUGUGUCUCCUUUACCGACCUUUCAGCCCCCUCCGCGGAGUCGAGUUGUUUGGGAAUGCAGCUCUAAGUGGGUGGUAAAUUCCAUCUAAGGCUAAAUAUUGGCGAGAGACCGAUAGCGAACAAGUACAGUGAUGGAAAGAUGAAAAGCACUUUGAAAAGAGAGUGAAACAGUACGUGAAAUUGUUGAAAGGGAAGGGUAUUUGGCCCGACAUGGGUCCUAUGCACCGUUGCCUCUCGUGGGCGGCGCUCUGCUUGGGCCUGGGCCAGCGUCAGUUUGGAGGGGGCGAGAAGGGUUUUGGUUAAAAACGGGAGCAAUUCCCCUUUGCUAGAUUGCCCCACACCGGACUGAGGACCGCCAUCUGUA
RNAcentral lists this ribosomal RNA (467 nucleotides) under [Candida] sp. DMKU-CPC19(1). Its description in RNAcentral is "eukaryotic LSU rRNA". It matches the Rfam family "Eukaryotic large subunit ribosomal RNA", at positions 109 to 596 of the family's 3401-position model. Lineage: Eukaryota; Fungi; Ascomycota; Saccharomycetes; Saccharomycetales. The record is from RNAcentral.